RNAcentral lists this ribosomal RNA (396 nucleotides) under Triticum aestivum (bread wheat). Its description in RNAcentral is "partial small subunit ribosomal RNA". The record is from RNAcentral. Lineage: Eukaryota; Viridiplantae; Streptophyta; Magnoliopsida; Poales; Poaceae.
AUGAAGAUGGAGUCGGCCUUGGGACCGGAUGUGCUUCCGGUGGCAGUCUUCCAGAGGUUCUAUAAUGUCCUGCAGCUAGUGAUUAUGCCGAUGUUCCAUGAAUUCUACAGUGGAACCUUCAACAUGAGCGGAGUGCUCACCCACUCCAGACAGACCGUGUUCCUGAAGAGCCGGUGCAUCCAUGAUGGAAUUUUUGCCCUUCACGAGAUUGUCCGUGAGGUGGUGUCGCGGGGUCAUAAGGGCGUCUUUCUCAAGUUGGACUUCCGAAAGGCCUACGACCGCCUGGAUUGGUCCUUCUUGCGGCUAGUGCUCCAGCGCCGGGGCUAUGAUGAGAGAUGGUGUUCAUGGAUCAUCCAGUUGGUUCGGUCCGGUAGUACGGGGAUUAAUAUUAACUAG